AACGAACGCUGGCGGCAUGCCUAACACAUGCAAGUCGAACGAGACCUUCGGGUCUAGUGGCGCACGGGUGCGUAACGCGUGGGAACCUGCCCUUAGGUUCGGAAUAACUCCCCAAGGGGUGCUAAUACCGGAUAAUGUCUUCGGACCAAAGAUUUAUCGCCUUUGGAUGGGCCCGCGUUGGAUUAGCUAGUUGGUAGGGUAAAAGCCUACCAAGGCGACGAUCCAUAGCUGGUCUGAGAGGAUGAUCAGCCACACUGGGACUGAGACACGGCCCAGACUCCUACGGGAGGCAGCAGUGGGGAAUAUUGGACAAUGGGCGAAAGCCUGAUCCAGCAAUGCCGCGUGAGUGAUGAAGGCCUUAGGGUUGUAAAGCUCUUUUACCCGGGAUGAUAAUGACAGUACCGGGAGAAUAAGCUCCGGCUAACUCCGUG
This 431-nucleotide ribosomal RNA is filed under the name uncultured bacterium. Its description in RNAcentral is "partial 16S ribosomal RNA". It matches the Rfam family "Bacterial small subunit ribosomal RNA", at positions 29 to 507 of the family's 1533-position model. The record is from RNAcentral.